CUGAGUAAGGGCGUGCGGUGGAUGCCUAGACUGAAGAAGGCGAUGAAGGACGUGGUUUGGCUGCGAUAAGCUCCGGGAAGGUGCCAAGCAACCGUUAUAUCCGGAGAUGUCCGAAUGGGGAAACCCGUAGAAGCAAACCUUCUACACUCGACAUAUAAACGAUGUCGGGAGCAUACCUCGGGAAGUGAAACAUCUCAGUACCGAGAGGAAAAGAAACCAAUAGGAAUUCCCUUAGUAGCGGCGAGCGAAACGGGAGGAGCCCAAACUCAGCCACAAUAAUUAGCUUCUAGGUUCUAGUAGCUAGCUUCUAGGAGGAUGCAGCAAUGCAGACCCCUAGCAGCUAGAAGCUAGUUCCUAGAAGCUGUCGCGCCGCAAGGUGCGACUAGUGGAUGGGGGUUAUAAGACUACAGUGUCCCGAGAGAAAUCGAGGGAGUAGAGUUACAAAAUGCUUAGAUAGAGGAAGGAGCUGGGAAGCUCGACCCUAGAGGGUAAUAGUCCCGUACUCGAAAUCAAAGCAUCUCUAUGGCUGUAGUUCUUGAGUAGCCCGAGACACGAAUAGCUCGGGUGAAUUCACCAGAACUAACUGGUAAGGCUACAUACUUCUUCAGAUCGAUAGUGAACUAGUACCGUGAGGGAAAGGUGAAAAGAACCCCGUUUAGGGGAGUGAAAUAGACCUGAAACCGCAUGUCUACAAGGAGUCGGAGCGGGCAGCAAUGUCCGCGACGGCGUGCCUAUUGAAGAAUGAGCCAACGAGUUGAUGCAUACGGCUUGGCUAAGUCCUUUCGGACGGAGCCGCAGCGAAAGCGAGUGUUAAUAGCGCGUUUGUCGUAUGUAUCAGACCCGAAGCCGGGUGAGCUACCCAUGAGCAGGCUGAACGCUCUAGAAAUAGAGCGGGAGGGCCGAACCCGUAGAUCGUGCAACAUCUUGGGAUGACUUGUGGGUUGGAGUGAAAAGCUUAUCGAACUCGGUAAUAGCUGGUUCUCUCCGAAAGAGCUUUCGGGCUUGCGUCAUAUGUUCCUGUCGGGGGUAGAGCACUGGAAGAAGCAGAUAGGCCGCAAGGCCACUGCCUCUAUCAAACUCCGAAUACCGGCAGCUAAAGUAUGGCAGUUAGACGGUGGGGGCGAAGCUCCACUCGUCAAAAGGGAAACAGCCCAGACCGCCAGUUAAGGUCCCCAAAUCUACGCUAAGUGCAAAUAAGGAGGUGUUAUUUCUCAGACAGUGAGGAUGUUGGCUUAGAAGCAGCCAUCAUUUAAAGAAAGCGUAACAGCUCACUCACUCAGAGAUCUCGCGCCACAAAUGAUCGGGGCUAAGCGUAGUACCGAAACUGCGGAUUCUAGCGCAUCACAGUGCAUGUGAUGCCAGUAAGCAGUAAGCAGUAAGUAGUAGGCAGCUGAAUUCAAACCGAAUUUCUGCUUUCUACCUUCUGUUUUCCGCCUACUAGUAGUCAUCGCGUGUAGCGCGAUGCGCUGGAGUGGUAGGAGAGCGUUCGUAUUGCGCUGAAGGCAAAGGGGUGACCCAUGCUGGAGCGAUGCGAAGUGAGAAUGUUGGCACGAGUAACCGCAAUGCGAGUGAGACUCUCGCACGCCGAAAGAACAAGGUUUCCUUCGCAAUGCAGAUCAACGAAGGGUUAGUCGGGCCUUAGCCAAUGGCGAACGCCGGAGGCGAUGGACACAUGGUUAAUAUUCCAUGACCCGCGCUUGUUGCGAUGGGGGGACGGAGAGCUGUACCUAGGGCGCAUUAUUGGAUUUGCGUCCAUGUCGUGAGGGUGUUCGGUAGGUAAAUCCGCCGAGCAACAGCCCAAGCGAAGUGGAGAACCGGAGAUUCGUCAAAGGGAAUCCUAGGGAGCGCGCUUCCAAGAAAAACCUCUAAGCUUCAGACAAGUGCGGACCGUACCGCAAACCGACACAGGUGUUCUGGUCGAGUAGACCAAGGCGAACGGGUGAUUGAUCCUCAAGGAACUCGGCAAAUUAGCGGCCGUAACUUCGGGAUAAGGCCUGCCCGGGCGCAUCACAGUGCAUGUGAUGCCAGUAAGCAGUAAGCAGUAGGUAGUAGGCAGCCGAAUUCAAACCGAAUUUCUGCUCUCUGCCUUCUGUUUUCCGUCUACCAGUCAUCGCGUGUAGCGCGAUGCGUCUGGGUCGCAGCGAAAGAUUCCCAAGCGACUGUUUACCAAAAACACAGCUCCCUGCGAACUCGUAAGAGGAUGUAUAGGGGGUGAUGCCUGACCAAUGCCGGUAGGUUAAGCGCGGUUGGUCCUGUCAUUUAUGAUAGGGCUGGACUGUGUAAGCCCCGGUCAAUGUCGGCGAUAACUAUAAUCGUCCUAAGGUAGCGAAAUUCCUUGUCUGGUAAGUUCAGACGCGCACGAAUGGUANNNNNNNNNNNNNNNNNNNNNNNAGACGAAAAGACCCCAGGAGCUUUACUGCAACUUGAUAUUGGGGAUACGGGUGCGCUGCGUAGCAUAGGUGGGAGACUUUGAAGCGAGGGUUUUGGCUCUCGUGGAGUCGUCAGUGAAAUACCACUCUGCGUUUCUGUAUCUUCUAACCUCUGCGGAGAAACCGCAGAGAGACAGUAUCUGGUGGGCAGUUUCGGUGGGGCGCUGUCCUCCUAAAAAGUAACGGAGGAGCCUAUUAUGGUCAGCUAGGCGCGAAUGGAAACCGUGCCGAUAGUGCAUUGGCAAAAGCUGGCUUGACUGCGAGUCGUACAUGACGAGCAGGCGCGAAAGCGGAGCAAAGUGAACCGACGGUACGCUUUAGAUGCGGCCGAAGAUUAACGGAUAAAAGUUACCCUGGGGAUAACAGGCUGGUACUGCCUAAGAGUCCAAAUCGACGGCAGUGUUCGGCACCUCGAUGUCGGCUCAAUUAGGGUCGGUUCUGGCGAAAGCCAGAACAUUCAAAUCGGCUUAUAACGGUGAACUCCUACCUGCAGACUCAGUGCAGAGGACAAUACCGUGGGAAGCUGGGCAAGCAGUGAUAUGAUUCCUAAUGCGGAAUUAUCGCACUGUCAGCGCGCAAUAAUUAUCGGUUCACUCCUAGGCGAUGCAUGCUUGGAGCGAAACGGUAAGCACUAUCGUUUGAGAAUUGAGCAUGGACGCACUCAAAAAGCGUACGUGCUAUGGAAGUGCAAAAUGUUCACUGAGCUUCUAACAGAAGCUAGUCCAAUGCAGGUGAAAGCUUUUCACUUGGGACGCCAGCGAACAUACGAAAGCUGGAGAGCAUACACAAAAAGUCUUCCAGUAUUCGAUGGAAUUGGAGAAGCCUUCUAUCAUUCGAGGAGAAAAGUCAUUCCUCGGAAUCUCACAGAAUUGCUUACCGAUCCCUUAUCCUUAGCUGUAUGGCACAUGGAUGACGGAUACAAGCGGAGUGAUUGCAAUGCAUUCCGCAUCAAUACCGACUCUUUCUCUGAAGAAGAGCAAGAGAUAUUGCGAGAGACAAUGGCAAAGAAUUUCGGAAUACAGUGUUCCGUACACAAAAAAGGAAAGUACAGGAAUUUGUAUAUUCCGAAGAAAUCAGCCCGGCAAUUUGUGGAGUUGGUAAAACCCCACGUGUUGCCUAGUCUCUUAUAUAAAAUUGCCUUAGCCCCGUAACGACUGGAACAUCUGCCAAUUGCAAGAAAAAUGAAUUGGUGCGAUGUGAAGAUAGCGAAAGAACCGGCUGAAGCCGGAGAACCAUCGCUAUAAAACGCCGAUCCCCUCUGCGCGAGGGUGAAGAUAUAGUCUACACGCGUAGUAAUACGUGAUUAAUGUGCAUCUCAUCCUGGGGGUGGAGAAGCUCCCAAGGGUUUGGCUGUUCGCCAAUUAAAGAGGUACGUGAGCUGGGUUCAGACCGUCGUGAGACAGGUUGGUCUUAAUCUGCUGCAGGCGUUGAUUCUUGAGGAGAUUCGUUCGUAGUACGAGAGGACCCGAAUGAACUGACCUCUGGUCUGUCGGCUGUCGCGCCAGCGGCACUGCCGAGUAGCUAUGUCGGGAAAGGAUAACCGCUGAAAGCAUCUAAGCGGGAAGCCAACUCCAAGAUAAGGAAUCGUUAUAGACCCGUGGGAGAUGACCACGUUGAUAGGCACCAGGUGUACGUGCAGUAAUGUACUGAGCCGAGGUGUACUAAUACGUCGACAG
Molecule: ribosomal RNA, 4105 nt
Filed under: Candidatus Kaiserbacteria bacterium CG10_big_fil_rev_8_21_14_0_10_59_10
Lineage: Bacteria; Candidatus Kaiseribacteriota
Description: bacterial LSU rRNA
Rfam family: Bacterial large subunit ribosomal RNA
Source: RNAcentral